UUGGAAAUUUAGAAGCUUUGGACAGUUUGAUUGCUGAAGGAACUGCUAUAAGAGAAGUGCCGUUGUCCAUUGUUUGUUUGAACAAUUUUGAUGGCUUGCAAAAUCUAACGUCUUUAUAUCUAACUGAUUGCGGCAUCACGGAGUUACCUGAAAAUCUCGGUCAGUUAUCCUUAUUACUUGAAUUGUAUCUAGAGAAAAACAAUUUUGAGAGAAUACCAGAGAGCAUCAUACAUCUUUCUAAGUUGGCAUAUCUUAAAUUGAGUUAUUGUGAGAGGCUUCAAUCCUUACCAAAGCUUCCAUGCAAUCUAAGUGAGUUAGAUGCACAUCAUUGCACAGCACUGGAAUCAUCUCCAGGUUUAGUAUUCCCAAGUCGUGAUCCUCAGUAUUUUGAGCUAAGAAAUAAUUUGAAAUUGGAUCGCAACGAGAUCAGGGAAAUUCUCGAAGAUGCUCAGCAAGAAAUUCAGGUUAUGGCAAUAGCACGUUGGAAACAAUUACAGGAAAAGGUAUGUUGUGUCUUUUAUGAUCCUUUUAAUCUAUACAAUGUUAUUGAGUAAUGAUCUAGUGGGCGAUAGUGCUCAUCUUAUGGAGAGCGAGAGUGGCACAUCGCAUUGCUUAAUUAAUCCACAGCCUUAACGCUAUUCACUGGGAGUUGUAGAAUUCUGCCACAUAUCCAAAUGCUCAUCCAUAUGGUGGGCACUAGCGCUCACUAGAUCAUCGUUCCAAUGCUAUUUUGUUAAUUUUUUAUUUAAAAUUAAAUUUAACAACAUUUCUUCAAAAUUAUGAUCUUUGGUACAGGGAGAUUUUUUCCAAAGUUCAGGUCGAGUAUUAUUACCUGGGAAUGAAAUUCCAAAGUGGUUUAGCUUUCAAAGUUUGGGAUCUUCUUCUAUAACCUUGAAGAUGCCACCUGUAGGUUGGUUCAGUAAUAACAAAGUGAUUGGCUUUGCUUACAGCGCUGUUGUAGGAUUUCGAGACCAUCAUGUCAAAGAGAAGAGGUGGUUUAACUUGUUCUGUGAAUUCAUGAAAGCCAAACCUGAAGAUUGUACUGAGCUACUGGUCAGACGGAGUUCUCUAAGGGGAUUUAAUUAUGUAGAGUCAGAUCACUUACUUUUGGGGUACUAUUUCUUUGGUGAGCAUGAUUUUAGUGCUUUCCAGAAACACAACUGCGAUCAUGUGGCAGUCAAGUUCUAUUUAGAGGAUGAUCAUAAUCAACGUGAACGUUUGGAUUGUUGCCCGGUGAAAAAAUGUGGGAUUCAUUUAUUGUACGCCCCUGAUUCUACGGAACCCACAGAAGAUCCAAGGAGUACUCUCGGUUGAAGUAUUCUUUAAGGCAUCAUAGUAGCUGCUACUUUUCAGUAAAUUAAUAAAUCUUAUAUUCAUAAACCUUGUUUUGCUAGCUUGGUUUCUUUUCCUUCUAUCUGUUUUUAUUACUUUUCUUUAAUUCUUUUCUUCCCAUAUAUAAAUAAUUGGCUUCAAAUAUUCAUAGGGAGAUACUUGUUUUCCUUGAAUUGCCUCGUUGCAGUAUUGAACAACUUUCGGAGAGCGUCCAGGUGUGCAAUGUCAAUAAUAUUUAAUUAUCAUACACGCUACUGAUCUGCAUGUAAUGGCUUCUUUUUUGGUGAAAGCAGAAUAAUUCAUUGGUAACGCUUGAUUAAUCUCUGGUUAUAGUACUCAAUAGAUUUAGUGAGACAUUUCGUCAAACAGGUAGGUUGUAAAAAUUAUAUAGCCUAUGGUAAAAAAUUUGAAUUAGGAUAUAGAGAUACAAAGACAGGAAAAUUCUUUUGUAAUAAUUGUAAAGAUAAACAACAUGAAGACAAUACAAUAGAAAUUAGUGAACUAAUAAAUACAACCUAACCCGCACUCAUAAAAAUUAUAAAUUAUUAAACUCACCCAUAAUCGGCAGUGGGUUUUUUAUUUUUUUUAAAAAGUCCAUCUAUUGCUGGUUUUAGGGGUGGUAAAAAUACAUGUCUGAUCUAAACUCUGGCGAUGUGGACCGGAUAAUGCUAAGCUUGGGUAUGAAGCCAAACUUGUCUUGGGCAUCACUUUAUAAACUCAAGACUCGACCCAAAACUUAAAUUUUAUUAAAAAAGUAUUAUAAAAUGUAUAUUAUUUUUAAUAUUUAUAUUUAUUUGACUGAUCUAUUACAUAUAGAUAAAAUUUUAAAUAUUUGAAGUUUAAAUUUUCAUGUUCGAUUUCAUUGAAAUAAAUUUAAAAAUUAUAAAAUUAUAAAAAAUUAUAAAAAUACAUAUAUAAUAAUAAAAAAAUACAAAAUACUGGGCACAAAAACCUGGAUUAAAAAACUUGGACUGGGUGUUUAAAAAUUACAUCAGGGCCAGGUCCAAGCAUUUCGAUACUUAGACCCGAACCUGAGAUUUAACAAUUAACAAACUAACCUAUAGCACCGAGUAAAUUUUUUUUAUAAGUUUUCUCAUUUAAAAUCAUAAAUAUAAAAAAAAAAUACUUUUAAUAAUACAUAAAAAAUUAAAUUAAGUGAUUCAAAUAUAAAUUUAUAACCCCUACAAAAUUCGUGUACAAAAUUCAAUUCUAAAUUUUACCAAUGAAAAUAAGAAAUUAAAAUUCCAACAUUAAAAAAAAAACAAAAUAUACUAAAUCUGACUUACAAAAUAAAAAAGAAAAACAAUAAAUAGCUGAUAGUAAUCUACUUUACAAAUUAUUAUCAUAUCCCAAAUCAAUUUUCUAAUCAUCAAAAUCUCUAAUCAAUUGAAUUGUUUCUGUUGUUAUGGCUUCUUCUUCUUCUUCUCGUCCAUCCAGCAGUUUGAGUUCGAUGAAUAAUCCUCGAAACAAUAAGUAUGAUGUUUUCCUGAGUUUCAGAGAAGAGGAAACCAGUGAUAGCUUUACUAGCCAUCUUUAUUCAGCCUUGUGUGAAACGAGUAUCGAAACUUUCAUUGAUGACCAACUCGUCAGAGGAAAUGAAAUCUCACAGUUUCUUCUUGAUGCAAUUGAAGCAUCAAGCAUAUCAGUUAUCGUAUUCUCUGAAGGGUAUGCUUCUUCCAGAUGGUGCCUCGAUGAACUUCUAAAGAUCCUCGAUUGCAGGAAAGAGUAUGCACAGAUUGUGAUACCAGUUUUCUAUCGGGUCGAUCCAUCACAUGUGAGAAAGCAAAUUGGGAGUUUUGGGGUUUCAAUUUCGGAGCUUGAAAAAAGAUUUCCAGACAAGAAACAAAGUUGGGGGAGUGCUUUAACUGAAGCAGCCAAUCUCUCUGGCUUUGAUUCUCAUGUCUUCAGGUAGCAGUCAAUUUAUUACCAAUUUUAUAAUUAUUUUUAUUUACUCAAGUUCUAGUAUUAUAUGAAUAAUUUUAAAAGCAAAAAAACUGUCUCAAAUCCGAACUAAUUAAAAACUCUCCUUUUUGUCUCUUUUUGAACUUAAUACUAUGUUUCUUGUAUUUGCUAGGAAUGAAUCUGAACUUAUAAAGACAGUUGUUGAUGAGAUUUUGGAGAGCCUGCCUAAAGUGGUUCCAUUUGAUAACAAAAAUCAGCUAGUUGGAGUAGAAUCAAGAGUUGAGGAAAUUGAAUCUCUAUUAGCUGCUGCACCUAUAUUAGGGAUUUGGGGCAUCGGUGGUGUAGGCAAGACAACAAUUUCUAGGGUGAUUUUCAACAAAAUCUCCAGAAAUUUUGAAGGUUCCUGCUUCCUUCAAAAUGUAAGAGAAGAAUCGCAGAGCCCUGGUGGAUUAGCUAGGUUGCAGCAAAAACUUUUUAAAGAAGUAUUGAAGGAUGUAAGCGUGAUUCCUGAUAUUGACUUCAACUUUAGAAGGCUCAGCCGCAGGAAGGUUCUGAUUGUUCUCGAUGAUGUGACUAGUUUCAGACAAAUAAAAUCCUUAAUCAGAGUUUCUGAUUGGUUUCUGCCUGAAAGUCGUCUCAUACUGACCACAAGAGAUCAACAAGUCCUUAAAAAUUGGGUUGUGAAAGAGAGAGACAUUUAUGAGAUGAAAGAAUUAGAACACGAUCAUGCCCUUGAGCUUUUUAGUCGACAUGCCUUCAAACAAAACUGCCCUCCUGAAGUAGGUUAUAAGGAAUUGUCAGAGAUUGUAAUAAAUUAUGCUCAAGGUGUUCCUUUAGCACUGGAAAUUUUGGGUUGCUAUCUAUUUGGAAGGGAAAAGGAAGUUUGGGAAAGCGCAAUAAACAAAUUGAAAAGAAUUCCUAAUUUGGAGAUACAAAAUGUGCUAAAAGUAAGUUUCGAUGAUCUGGAUGAUGAAGAGAAAGAUAUUUUUCUAGACAUUGUUUGUUUCUUUAAAGGGAAAGAUAAAGACUUCAUUAUAAAAUUUCUUAAUGCUUGUGGCUUUGAUGCACAAAUAGGAAUAAGUGAUCUUGUCAAUAAGUCUCUUAUUGUCAUACACGACAACAAAAUAACAAUGCAUGAUCUGUUACAAGAAAUGGGUAGGGAAAUUGUCAGGCAAGAAUCUGUGAAAAAUCCAGGAGAACGCAGUCGGCUGUGGCACCAUGAGGAUAUUAUUGAAGUUUUGACCUUUAAUACGGUAAGCAUUUUGUUUGAGACUUUAUAUUAUUUGUGAAUGCUAUUGGAUUUGUAAACUUUACUUAUAAUUAUGUAUAAGUACAUGGGACAUAAGAUCAAUAGAAGAACUGGCAAUAAUAAAAAGGAAAAAAAAAUAUUGCAAUGUCAAUUUACAACUAAAAGUCUGGCAAACAGACAGAGAUACGUUACAAUGUCAAUUUACAUCUAAAAGUAUGGCAAAUUAACAAACAUAGAUACUUUAUAUGUUUAGUAUUGUUUGUAUUACUAUGUUUCUUUCGUACAUAGGCAUGUCCAUACUUCAUGGAUACUUUAUAUGCUUAGUAUUGUUUGUAUUACAAUGUUUCUUUUGUACGUUGGCUUUCAAUUAACUUGAACAUUAAUUUAAAUUUGAAUUUAACUUCCUGGUCUUUCAUUGAUUGUUAGGGGACCAAAAAAGUUGAGGGUAUCUGCUUUGAUAUGUCUAGAAUAAAAGAGAUCUAUCUGCAUCCAGAUACUUUCACAAAGAUGUGUAAAUUGAGAUUUUUGAAAUUCUAUAACUCUAAAGAUGAUGGAGAGAACAAAUGUAAGGUGUCUUAUUUGGUAGGACCUGGAUUUGCUGAAGUGAGGUAUCUUCACUGGUAUGGAUAUCCACUAAAAUCAUUGCCGUCAAAUAUUCAUCCAGAGAAACUUGUUUCAAUUGAAAUGCCUCAUGGUAAUAUUCAACAACUUUGGGAUGAUGUCGAGGUAUAUAAAAUCUUAAUAUUUAUGCAAUGUUUCAGUAAUAAUGUUUAAUUAUUUAUCGUACUUAAAUGCUAACAAUUUGUAUGUCUGGGCUUCUAAUUUUUUUGGAGCAGCAUAAUGGUAAGUUAAAGCAGAUAAUAAGCCGGGCCUGCAAUUUUUUCACCAAAUCUCCAAACCACUCGUUGACCCUGCAUCUGGACAAGCUAGUUAACCUCAAUCUAAACAAUUGCAAAAGCUUGAGAAUUCUUCCAGCUGGAAUAUUUCGUUUGGAAUUUCUUAAAGAACUUGAUCUUUGGGGCUGCUCAAAACUAAAAACGCUUCCAGAGAUAUCAUCAGCUGGUAAUAUAGAAGUGAUGUAUUUAAAUGGAACUGCAAUUGAAGAACUGCCUUCAUCCAUAGAAUGUCUAUCUCGGCUUUCGGCCUUAUACCUUGAUAAUUGUAAAAGGCUGAAGAGUCUCCCAAGCAGCCUAUGUAAAUUGAACUCUCUGAACUUUAUUUAUCUCAGGUGGUGCUCAAGUCUUAGGAGUUUGCCUGAUGAACUUGGAAAUUUAGAAGCUUUGGACAGUUUGAUUGCUGAAGGAACUGCUAUAAGAGAAGUGCCGUUGUCCAUUGUUGAGAUCAAUAGAAGAACUGGCAAUAAUAAAAAGGAAAAAAAAAUAUUGCAAUGUCAAUUUACAACUAAAAGUCUGGCAAACAGACAGAGAUACGUUACAAUGUCAAUUUACAUCUAAAAGUAUGGCAAAUUAACAAACAUAGAUACUUUAUAUGUUUAGUAUUGUUUGUAUUACUAUGUUUCUUUCGUACAUAGGCAUGUCCAUACUUCAUGGAUACUUUAUAUGCUUAGUAUUGUUUGUAUUACAAUGUUUCUUUUGUACGUUGGCUUUCAAUUAACUUGAACAUUAAUUUAAAUUUGAAUUUAACUUCCUGGUCUUUCAUUGAUUGUUAGGGGACCAAAAAAGUUGAGGGUAUCUGCUUUGAUAUGUCUAGAAUAAAAGAGAUCUAUCUGCAUCCAGAUACUUUCACAAAGAUGUGUAAAUUGAGAUUUUUGAAAUUCUAUAACUCUAAAGAUGAUGGAGAGAACAAAUGUAAGGUGUCUUAUUUGGUAGGACCUGGAUUUGCUGAAGUGAGGUAUCUUCACUGGUAUGGAUAUCCACUAAAAUCAUUGCCGUCAAAUAUUCAUCCAGAGAAACUUGUUUCAAUUGAAAUGCCUCAUGGUAAUAUUCAACAACUUUGGGAUGAUGUCGAGGUAUAUAAAAUCUUAAUAUUUAUGCAAUGUUUCAGUAAUAAUGUUUAAUUAUUUAUCGUACUUAAAUGCUAACAAUUUGUAUGUCUGGGCUUCUAAUUUUUUUGGAGCAGCAUAAUGGUAAGUUAAAGCAGAUAAUAAGCCGGGCCUGCAAUUUUUUCACCAAAUCUCCAAACCACUCGUUGACCCUGCAUCUGGACAAGCUAGUUAACCUCAAUCUAAACAAUUGCAAAAGCUUGAGAAUUCUUCCAGCUGGAAUAUUUCGUUUGGAAUUUCUUAAAGAACUUGAUCUUUGGGGCUGCUCAAAACUAAAAACGCUUCCAGAGAUAUCAUCAGCUGGUAAUAUAGAAGUGAUGUAUUUAAAUGGAACUGCAAUUGAAGAACUGCCUUCAUCCAUAGAAUGUCUAUCUCGGCUUUCGGCCUUAUACCUUGAUAAUUGUAAAAGGCUGAAGAGUCUCCCAAGCAGCCUAUGUAAAUUGAACUCUCUGAACUUUAUUUAUCUCAGGUGGUGCUCAAGUCUUAGGAGUUUGCCUGAUGAACUUGGAAAUUUAGAAGCUUUGGACAGUUUGAUUGCUGAAGGAACUGCUAUAAGAGAAGUGCCGUUGUCCAUUGUUGGUUUGAACAAUUUUGAUGGCUUGCAAAAUCUAACGUCUUUAUAUCUAACUGAUUGCGGCAUCACGGAGUUACCUGAAAAUCUCGGUCAGUUAUCCUUAUUACUUGAAUUGUAUCUAGAGAAAAACAAUUUUGAGAGAAUACCAGAGAGCAUCAUACAUCUUUCUAAGUUGGCAUAUCUUAAAUUGAGUUAUUGUGAGAGGCUUCAAUCCUUACCAAAGCUUCCAUGCAAUCUAAGUGAGUUAGAUGCACAUCAUUGCACGGCACUGGAAUCAUCACCGG
RNAcentral lists this long non-coding RNA (7343 nucleotides) under Citrus sinensis (sweet orange). RNAcentral describes it as "long non-coding RNA (CSIN_LNC002192)". Lineage: Eukaryota; Viridiplantae; Streptophyta; Magnoliopsida; Sapindales; Rutaceae. The record is from RNAcentral.